AUUGAACGCUGGCGGUAUGCCUUACACAUGCAAGUCGAACGGCAGCACAGGUGCUUCUUGCUGGUACGGGGUGCCAGUCGGGUACGUAUUAGAUAUGCAUCUGUAUCGACGUGUUCGUUAGGGCGGACGUAGGGGGACUUACACUACUACCGCAUACCGGCUACGAGCGAAAGAACUUGAUCUUCGGACCUUUCGCGUUUGCAUGAGCCGAUGUCGGAUUAGCUAGUUGGCGGGGUAAAGGCCCACCAAGGCGACGAUCAGUAGCUGGUCUGAGAGGAUGAUCAGCCACACUGGAACUGAGACACGGUCCAGACUCCUACGGGAGGCAGCAGUGGGGAAUAUUGGACAAUGGGCGAAAGCCUGAUCCAGCAAUGCCGCGUGUGUGAAGAAGGCCUUCGGGUUGUAAAGCACUUUUGUUCGGAAAGAAAAGCAGCAGGUUAAUACCCUGCGGUGAUGACGGUACCGAAAGAAUAAGCACCGGCUAACUACGUG
RNAcentral lists this ribosomal RNA (492 nucleotides) under uncultured bacterium. Its description in RNAcentral is "partial 16S ribosomal RNA". It matches the Rfam family "Bacterial small subunit ribosomal RNA", at positions 30 to 507 of the family's 1533-position model. The record is from RNAcentral.